AGAGUUUGAUUCUGGCUCAGGACGAACGCUGGCGGCGUGCUUAACACAUGCAAGUCGAACGGGAUCCACUGGGCUUUUGUUUGGUGGUGAGAGUGGCGAACGGGUGAGUAAUGCGUGACUAACCUGCCGUAUGGUUGGGGAUAGCUCCUGGAAACGGGUGGUAAUACCCAAUGCUCCAGCUGGAUGCAUGUCUGGUUGGGAAAGCUGUUGUGCCAUAUGAUGGGGUCGCGUCCUAUCAGCUUGUUGGUGGGGUGAUGGCCUACCAAGGCGUCGACGGGUAGCCGGCCUAAGAGGGCGACCGCCCACAUUGGGACUGAGAUACGGCCCAG
RNAcentral lists this ribosomal RNA (329 nucleotides) under uncultured bacterium. RNAcentral's name for it is "bacterial SSU rRNA". It matches the Rfam family "Bacterial small subunit ribosomal RNA", at positions 8 to 334 of the family's 1533-position model. The record is from RNAcentral.